AUGUUCAUCUCUUACUCUGUGUGUGUUUGGUUGGCCUGGGUUCCUUGGAAGAGGAAGAACUCUCGUGUGUUGGGAGGAGGAAUGUGGAUGUUGCUUUGUGUGGGAGACAACUCUUUGAUUCUUUGCUCCUCUGCGGUGAAUAUAUAUUGGUGUGGUCGUGGUGGGUGGCCCUCUUUCUGGGAGGCCGAGGAUGCCCGUGGGGACGGACAGUUGGAGAGGACAUGCAUGCAUGGGGGUGGGCCGGCCACUGCCUGCUGCUUUGUUUAUUUACCAAUAAUAACACAAGCGGUAAUCCAGUCCCUCUGA
Molecule: ribosomal RNA, 306 nt
Filed under: Triticum aestivum (bread wheat)
Lineage: Eukaryota; Viridiplantae; Streptophyta; Magnoliopsida; Poales; Poaceae
Description: partial small subunit ribosomal RNA
Source: RNAcentral